This 1854-nucleotide long non-coding RNA is filed under the name Homo sapiens (human). Its description in RNAcentral is "HSALNT0347000". Lineage: Eukaryota; Metazoa; Chordata; Mammalia; Primates; Hominidae. The record is from RNAcentral.
CUGGGCGGGAGGCAGAGCCAAAACCGUAACAGCCAGAGCUAGAGACUCCGGCCUGGGGUUCUGGCUCUGUCCCGUAUCAGCUAGGAAACCCAGGGCAAGCUACUUAAACUCUCAGAGGCUCAGCUUUUUCAUGAGCAAACAGGAAAACAGGGCUAAUGAUUAGUCCUUGGCUUAAAAUACAUACCGCGUGUGAAAUUGCAGGUAUAUAAUAGAUUCACUAAAUGAGAGCACAAAUAAUGUAUGUUUUCUGAACCAUCUGAGGGCGAGUUAUCAACACUUACUCUCCAAUGCGUCAUCACCCCCAACACUCCUGUGUAUUUCCUGCAAAUAAGGAUCUUCUCCUACAUGGUCAGUCCGAACAACCUUCAGUCACAACUGAGAAGGUCACAUGGUGCAUCACUGCCGCUCAGUCUCCCCAAGCCCAGUGAUUUCUUCACAAUUAGGGAUCUGAGACCCGCAGUAUGGCAGUGACAAGAUCCAAGUCUUGGGACACCUAGCCAGGAGGGAAGAAUUUGAGGGAGAGGUGGAAAAUAUGCGAGGCUGAACUGACCUUCAAGGACAAGAAGGCUGUGUUCAGAUAGACAGAGUUUGUCUUCUGGGAGAGGAGUGGGCUUAUCCAGGAUGAUCCCAAAGGCAGAUUGAGGACCAGUGGGAGGACAUCCUGAGAAAGCAGAUCCAGCUUUAGGCAAGGAAGGACUUCGUAACAGGCAGAGAGCCCAUGUUGGAAACAAGCAGCUCUGCAAGGUGUGGGCCCACUGUCUGACUCCCUGCGGGGCUGCUGCCUUGGAAGAGCCUCCUGCUUAGAGAGGUUCUCCUGCCGCCAGCUGUCUCUCCUGAGUCCUGAGCACCACAUCUCUGGACCGUCUGGAGCCUCCCCUCCCUUGGCUUACUGCUCCCACCACCCUCUCUCUCCACCUUGCAAGAGACACUCUCCCUCAUCCUGGGUCAUCACCCUCUUUAGAGGCGCCGCCUGGCCACGAGGUUGGAUAUGGGGGGUGGGCAGGAUCUUGGCCUUACUUGAUGCAGUGCACACCUCCAACAGGCAUCAGAUGGAGUGCAGCCGGGAGCAAGAUUCUCAUAGCAAUUACAAAGAUUCACAAGAAAAUGUGCCCUCCACUACACAGCUGUAAUUUACAUGCUUUCAAACUUGAUAUGGAAUGACUGUGGUUUCCCCUGAAAGAAGCAUCACUGAUCUCUGCACAGGAGAAACAAGGAUCUUGCUCUGUCACCUAGGCUGGAGUGCAAUGGCACACUCACGGCUCACUGCAGCGUCAAACUCCCAGGCUCAAGUGUUCCUCCUACCUCAGCCUCCUGAGUAGCUAGGACCACAGCACAGGCCCAGACACAAAGCAGAUGUGCAGUGGAGUGUGAAAGAGGCAGCCAACUCACUGGGGAGCUUCAGAGGGAGAUGGCCCAAAUUGCUGGGGCCUAAGAAUCUCCCGGAAUGAAGGAACAGUAGAAAGAACUGGAAGCCAAAUAUGGUGAUAGAGACUCUCAUCAAGGACACUGAGUAAACCAGAAACCUGCUUGGGCUCACGUUCCUUGUCUCUUCUUCUCAGAUCCAGGAAAGGAGCUGUCCAGGACAAUGAGGAUAGGCUGAGGAAAGACAGGCCACGGCCUUGCCUCUGUGCCAGCUCUCAUGGGCCAGGCAGAGUAUCCCAGGACAACUGCCUCCACAACCAGCUCCAUCCUUCAUCAGCAAUUCAGUACCUGAUUAACAAAUCUGUACCCCAGGAGGUUAUGCCAAGUCCAACUUCUUCCAGAGACCACAACAAUAAAUCCAAGCCACUGCUAAUGUCAUUUAUAAGCUGUGGGAUUAAAACAGAGAAGCAAUCAAUUAAUUAAAAUUAGCUC